This 534-nucleotide ribosomal RNA is filed under the name uncultured Anaplasma sp. RNAcentral's name for it is "bacterial SSU rRNA". It matches the Rfam family "Bacterial small subunit ribosomal RNA", at positions 72 to 637 of the family's 1533-position model. The record is from RNAcentral. Lineage: Bacteria; Pseudomonadati; Pseudomonadota; Alphaproteobacteria; Rickettsiales; Anaplasmataceae.
UUUAUAGCUUGCUAUAAAGAAUAGUUAGUGGCAGACGGGUGAGUAAUGCAUAGGAAUCUACCUAGUAGUAUGGGAUAGCCACUAGAAAUGGUGGGUAAUACUGUAUAAUCCCUGCGGGGGAAAGAUUUAUCGCUAUUAGAUGAGCCUAUGUUAGAUUAGCUAGUUGGUAGGGUAAAGGCCUACCAAGGCGAUGAUCUAUAGCUGGUCUGAGAGGAUGAUCAGCCACACUGGAACUGAGAUACGGUCCAGACUCCUACGGGAGGCAGCAGUGGGGAAUAUUGGACAAUGGGCGCAAGCCUGAUCCAGCUAUGCCGCGUGAGUGAGGAAGGCCUUAGGGUUGUAAAACUCUUUCAGUAGGGAAGAUAAUGACGGUACCUACAGAAGAAGUCCCGGCAAACUCCGCGCCAGCAGCCGCGGUAAUACGGAGGGGGCAAGCGUUGUUCGGAAUUAUUGGGCGUAAAGGGCAUGUAGGCGGUUCGGUAAGUUAAAGGUGAAAUGCCAGGGCUUAACCCUGGAGCUGCUUUAAAUACUGCC